RNAcentral lists this ribosomal RNA (346 nucleotides) under uncultured bacterium. RNAcentral's name for it is "partial 16S ribosomal RNA". It matches the Rfam family "Bacterial small subunit ribosomal RNA", at positions 338 to 676 of the family's 1533-position model. The record is from RNAcentral.
CCUACGGGAGGCUGCAGUGGGGAAUAUUGCGCAAUGGGCGAAAGCCUGACGCAGCGACGCCGCGUGAGGGAUGAAGGUCUUCGGAGCGUAAACCUCUGUCAGCAGGGAAGAACGGUCACUGGGCGAAGCAGCAGUGAAUGGACGGUACCUGCAAAGGAAGCACCGGCUAACUCCGGGCCAGCAGCAGCGGUAAUACGGAGGGUGCGAGCGUUAAUCGGAAUUACGGGGUGUAAAGCGCGCGUAGGCGGUAUGUCAAGUCAAGGGUGAAAUCCCCGCGCUCAACGUGGGAACUGCCUUUGAAACUUGCAACCUGGAGUGUUUUCGAGGUUAGUGGAAUUCCAGGUGU